GGGCCCGCACAAGCAGCGGAGCGUGUGGUUUAAUUCGAGGCUACACGAAGAACCUUACCUGGGUUUGACAUACAAGUGGUAGUGAACUGAAAAGGGAACGACCUUCGGGAGCUUGUACAGGUGCUGCAUGGCUGUCGUCAGCUCGUGCCGUGAGGUGUUCGGUUAAGUCCGCAAACGAGCGCAACCCUCGGCGUUAGUUACAAGUGUCUAACGCAACUGCCCGUGAGAAACGGGAGGAAGGUGGGGAUGACGUCAAGUCAGCAUGGCCUUUAUAUCCAGGGCUACACACACGCUACAAUGGGCGGUACAAUGGGUCGCGAAGCCGCGAGGUGAAGCCAAUCCAGAAAGCCGUUCGUAGUUCAGAUUGCAGGCUGCAACUCGCCUGCAUGAAGUUGGAGUUGCUAGUAACCGCAGGUCAGCUAUACUGCGGUGAAUACGUUCCCGGGCCUU
This 450-nucleotide ribosomal RNA is filed under the name uncultured bacterium. RNAcentral describes it as "bacterial SSU rRNA". It matches the Rfam family "Bacterial small subunit ribosomal RNA", at positions 917 to 1382 of the family's 1533-position model. The record is from RNAcentral.